ACCCACGAACCUCUGAAAAAAAAUCAUAACCAGCAGCGACAAUCACAUCAGUGAUUUGUUUAUUCGAAUUACAAAAUGCGAACAGCUGGGCAUUAAAAUCAAAGCAGCCCGGGCAGAAGACAAGCCAACAAGCCCCAGAAAACAAGAAACCAAAACAAGCUCACAACUUCACAAGAGAGAUCGGGAUGGGAAUUAUUGGGGAUGUGCCUGGAAUAUUUAUCAUACAAAAUCGAUGAUAAAACCCGAUGAGACAUAUGGUCGUGGGACCUCAAAAAGAUGUCGACAUGAUGGAUUGACACGCCCACAAAAUGCAUGGGAUGUGUCCGACAUGAAGUCUGACAACAAACUGUACACGGAAGCCGGUUUCUGAUGAAAAUAGCCAAUGUGGAAUAUGUACGUGAAGAUAUAUUUGGCAUGAUAUAUUUCACAUUACUCAAUUAAUUUGGGGGAAUGGGCGAAAGCGGGAAGGCAGCCGAACAAAGCACAAGGAAAUGCGGGAAAACUGCGGGAAGGUCAGCAACCUGAACCCGGGGAGAGAUUUUGGUUUGCCUAUUAAUCAACAAGUGGCCGAGUGUGACAUGGCCAGACAGGCGCGGCUGGCACCUUACAAAUCGACGGCAUUAGUCAUUGAACGUCCAAGGCGGAAAUUGCACAGAGUCCGAUAAAAAACGGAAGUCGUCGCAUUGUAAAGGAUGGCAAGUAAAAGUAUCUUAUGGACAGAUUGCAUGUCGGGGAAAAAGGUGCCCUGUCCAGGAGUGGGAAACGACCAACCGAUGGGCCAUUAAGCCUUGCGUGUUCAAUUUUCGCAGCUAAAUUAAAUUAUUAAAGAGGCUGCAAAGGCCAUGAAAAGGGGAUACCUGGGAGUAGAGAUAAUAUUUAUUUUUAAUUAACUGAAUACAAAAAAUAAUCCUUCUCUAUAAGCUUAAUUAGGUACAAGGAAUUUAAUUAAGUAGUUAAUUUAAUAAAGUUUAAACAUUUAUUUAAAAUAAUUCACAGAAAUGUUUGUUUAUACUUUUUUUGGGAGCUUCCUCUCGUUUAAC
Molecule: long non-coding RNA, 1040 nt
Organism: Drosophila ananassae
Lineage: Eukaryota; Metazoa; Arthropoda; Insecta; Diptera; Drosophilidae
Exons: 3
Source: RefSeq, a predicted model, not a curated record